UUUUUAUUAAUAAAAAUUUUUAUACCUAAGUAUUACGAGACUACAUAUAUAUUAGGUCUUAAAACUUAAAAGGUUUGGCGGUUUUACAGAUCCUUUUAGGGGAGCUUGUUAAUUAGUUUGAUAAUCCACAUUUUAAACUUACUUUUUUUUGAUAUAAAUAUAUAUAUAUAUAUUUACAGUUUGUAUAUUGCUGUCAUCAGUUUAUUCUUUAAGGGUUAAAAAACUUAUAAAUUUUUAUAUUUUUAUGUCAAGUCAUAAUGCAGUUGAUAGAAAAGGUUUAAUGAGCUACUUUUGUAAAUUUUUAUAGAUAUCAGAUAAUAAAAUUUAAUUUUGUUAAUAAGAUGGACUUAAUAGUAAAUUAUAAUUAGUAAGUAUAGUUGAAUAAUUGGUUUUGUAAAGUG
RNAcentral lists this ribosomal RNA (401 nucleotides) under Argonauta nodosus. RNAcentral describes it as "partial 12S ribosomal RNA". Lineage: Eukaryota; Metazoa; Mollusca; Cephalopoda; Octopoda; Argonautidae. The record is from RNAcentral.